GUGAAAUUGUUGAAAGGGAAACGAUUGAAGUCAGUCGUGUUCAUUGGAUUCAGCUAGUUCUUCUAGUCUACUUCCUUUGAACGGGUCAACAUCAGUUUUGUCCGGUGGAUAAAGGAUUUAGGAAUGUGACUCCCUCGGGAGUGUUAUAGCCUAGGUUCACAUACACUGGGUGAGACUGAGGACUGCAGCUCGCCUUUUGGCCGGGGUUCGCCCACGUUCGAGCUUAGGAUGUUGACAUAAUGGCUUUAAACGACCCGUCUUGAAACACGGACCAAGGAGUC
Molecule: ribosomal RNA, 281 nt
Filed under: uncultured fungus
Lineage: Eukaryota; Fungi
Description: partial 28S ribosomal RNA
Rfam family: Eukaryotic large subunit ribosomal RNA
Source: RNAcentral